RNAcentral lists this ribosomal RNA (253 nucleotides) under uncultured bacterium. RNAcentral's name for it is "partial 16S ribosomal RNA". It matches the Rfam family "Bacterial small subunit ribosomal RNA", at positions 524 to 776 of the family's 1533-position model. The record is from RNAcentral.
UACGUAGGGUGCCAGCGUAAAUCGGAAUUACUGGGCGUAAAGCGUGCGCAGGCGGAUGCUUAAGUCAGAUGUGAAAUCCCCGGGCUUAACCUGGGAAUGGCAUUUGAAACUGGGCGUCUGGAGUGCGGCAGAGGGGGGUGGAAUUCCACGUGUAGCAGUGAAAUGCGUAGAGAUGUGGAGGAGCACCGAUGGCGAAGGCAGCCCCCUGGGCCUGCACUGACGCUCAUGCACGAAAGCGUGGGGAGCAAACAGG